GAUCCUGGCUCAGAAUCAACGCUGGCGGCGUGCCUAACACAUGCAAGUCGAACGCGAAAGGGGAGCAAUCCCUGAGUAGAGUGGCAAACGGGUGAGUAACACGUGGGUGACCUGCCUUCGAGUGGGGGAUAACGUCCCGAAAGGGACGCUAAUACCGCAUGACAUCCUGCUCUUGGAAGAGCGGAGAUCAAAGCCGGGGAUCGCAAGACCUGGCGCUUGAAGAGGGGCCCGCGCCUGAUUAGCUAGUUGGUAGGGUAACGGCCUACCAAGGCAACGAUCAGUAUCCGGCCUGAGAGGGCGGACGGACACACUGGGACUGAGACACGGCCCAGACUCCUACGGGAGGCAGCAGUGGGGAAUUGUUCGCAAUGGGCGCAAGCCUGACGACGCAACGCCGCGUGGAGGACGAAGAUCUUCGGGUCGUAAACUCCUGUCGAGUGGGAAGAAUGGAUCAGGGGUGAAUAACCUCUGGUAUUGACGGUACCACUAAAGGGAGCCCCGGCUAACUCCGUGCCAGCAGCCGCGGUAAUACGGGGGGGGCAAGCGUUGUUCGGAAUUACUGGGCGUAAAGGGCUCGUAGGCGGCCAACUAAGUCGGACGUGAAAUCCCCAGGCUCAACCUGGGAACUGCGUCCGAUACUGGAUGGCUUGAAUUCGGGAGAGGGAUGCAGAAUUCCAGGUGUAGCGGUGA
RNAcentral lists this ribosomal RNA (690 nucleotides) under uncultured Acidobacteriota bacterium. RNAcentral's name for it is "bacterial SSU rRNA". It matches the Rfam family "Bacterial small subunit ribosomal RNA", at positions 15 to 684 of the family's 1533-position model. Lineage: Bacteria; Pseudomonadati; Acidobacteriota. The record is from RNAcentral.